Molecule: ribosomal RNA, 441 nt
Filed under: uncultured bacterium
Lineage: Bacteria
Description: bacterial SSU rRNA
Rfam family: Bacterial small subunit ribosomal RNA
Source: RNAcentral
AAUAUUGCACAAUGGGCGCAAGCCUGAUGCAGCCAUGCCGCGUGUAUGAAGAAGGCCUUCGGGUUGUAAAGUACUUUCAGCAGUGAGGAAGGUGGAUAUGUUAAUAGCAUAUUCAUUUGACGUUAGCUGCAGAAGAAGCACCGGCUAACUCCGUGCCAGCAGCCGCGGUAAUACGGAGGGUGCGAGCGUUAAUCGGAAUUACUGGGCGUAAAGCGCAUGCAGGUGGUUUGUUAAGUCAGAUGUGAAAGCCCCGGGGCUCAACCUCGGAAUUGCAUUUGAAACUGGCAGACUAGAGUACUGUAGAGGGGGUAGAAUUUCAGGUGUAGCGGUGAAAUGCGUAGAGAUCUGAAGGAAUACCGGUGGCGAAGGCGGCCCCCUGGACAGAUACUGACACUCAGAUGCGAAAGCGUGGGGAGCAAACAGGAUUAGAUACCCUGGUAG